GGGCAAGUGGUCUAGGGGUAUGAUUUCUCAUUCGCAUUAACUUGCGCAACAAAAACUUUGAGAAGGUCCGGGGUUCAAUUCCCCGCUUGUCCA
This is a non-coding RNA of Kalaharituber pfeilii, 93 nucleotides long. Lineage: Eukaryota; Fungi; Ascomycota; Pezizomycetes; Pezizales; Pezizaceae. The record is from the annotation of a GenBank genome assembly.